This is a long non-coding RNA of Diabrotica virgifera virgifera (western corn rootworm), 339 nucleotides long. RefSeq lists it as uncharacterized. Lineage: Eukaryota; Metazoa; Arthropoda; Insecta; Coleoptera; Chrysomelidae. The record is from RefSeq and is a predicted model, not a curated record. The transcript is spliced from 3 exons.
AACGUAUUUUAAAUUUACCCGCUUCACUAAAUUGCCGAAAACAAAUUUCACACUGAUAAGGUUUUUCUCCAGUGUGCACUCUCAAAUGUCUUUUUAAAUUACUUGCUUGACCAAAUCGCUUAAACAAAUUUCACACUUGUAAGGUUUUUCUGCAGUGUGUGUUCUCAAAUAGGUCUUUUCAAACUACUUGCAUCACUAAAUUGCUUAAAACAAAUCUCACACUUGUAAGGUUUUCCUGCAGUGUGUGUUCUCAAAUAUGUCUUUUCAAACUACUUGCAUCACUAAAUUGCUUAAAACAAAUCUCACACUUGUAAGGUUUUUCUCCAGUGUGCACUCUCG